Molecule: ribosomal RNA, 253 nt
Filed under: uncultured bacterium
Lineage: Bacteria
Description: partial 16S ribosomal RNA
Rfam family: Bacterial small subunit ribosomal RNA
Source: RNAcentral
UACGUAGGGUGCGAGCGUUAAUCGGAAUUACUGGGCGUAAAGCGUGCGUAGACGGUCAUGUAAGUCGGAUGUGAAAGCCCCGGGCUCAACCUGGGAAUUGCAUUCGAGACUGCAUGGCUUGGGUGCGGAAGAGGGAAGCGGAAUUUCCGGUGUAGCGGUGAAAUGCGUAGAUAUCGGAAGGAACACCAGUGGCGAAAGCGGCUUCCUGGUCCGACACCGACGUUCAGGCACGAAAGCGUGGGGAGCAAACAGG